AGAAAGCUCCGGCUAACUCCGUGCCAGCAGCCGCGGUAAUACGGGGGGAGCAAGCGUUGUCCGGAUUUAUUGGGCGUAAAGGGCGCGUAGGCGGGAUAGUAUGUCGGUGGUGAAAAUUCGGGGCUCAACCCCGAACCGGCCUCCGAAACUGCUGUCCUUGAGUGCAAGCGAGGGAACUGGAAUUCCUGGUGUAGCGGUGGAAUGCAUAGAUAUCAGGAAGAACACCGGUUGCGAAGGCGAGUUCCUGGAUUGACACUGACGCUGAGGCGCGAAAGCGUGGGGAGCAAACAGGAUUAGAUACCCUGGUAGUCCACGCCGUAAACUAUGGGCACUAGGUGUUGGAGGUAUCGACCCCUCCAGUGCCGCAGCUAACGCA
RNAcentral lists this ribosomal RNA (376 nucleotides) under uncultured bacterium. Its description in RNAcentral is "bacterial SSU rRNA". It matches the Rfam family "Bacterial small subunit ribosomal RNA", at positions 485 to 859 of the family's 1533-position model. The record is from RNAcentral.